UCGUGCCUACGGGGGGCAGCAGUAGGGAAUUUUCGUCAAUGGGCGCAAGCCUGAACGAGCAAUGCCGCGUGAACGAGGAAGGCGUUCGGAUCGUAAAUUUCUGUUGAAGGGGAAAAAGAGCGGAGAGAGGAAAUGAACUCCGAUUGAUAUUACCCUUCGAGGAAGUCACGGCUAACUACGUGCCAGCAGCCGCGGUAAUACGUAGGUGGCGAGCGUUAUCCGGAAUGAUUGGGCGCAAAGGGUGCGUAGGCGGCCUGCUAAGUCUGGAGUGAAAGGUACCGGCUCAACCGGUACAGGCCCUGGAA
RNAcentral lists this ribosomal RNA (305 nucleotides) under uncultured bacterium. Its description in RNAcentral is "bacterial SSU rRNA". It matches the Rfam family "Bacterial small subunit ribosomal RNA", at positions 333 to 631 of the family's 1533-position model. The record is from RNAcentral.